RNAcentral lists this unclassified non-coding RNA (1795 nucleotides) under Exaiptasia diaphana. Its description in RNAcentral is "galactose-3-O-sulfotransferase 2-like, transcript variant X2". The record is from RNAcentral. Lineage: Eukaryota; Metazoa; Cnidaria; Anthozoa; Actiniaria; Aiptasiidae.
ACUACACCAUGCGAUUCAAAGCAAUGUUUCUUUAAAUGUAAUCACUAGUAUAUCUAAUGGCAACAUAAAUUGUUCAUAAAUAAUUGAAUAACGAAGAAUUCCUCAUUAUGUCGACGUCCUUUCGAGAGAAUCUGUUUCAUGCAUUCAUAGUUCUGGUNAUCGUGUCGUUGGUUGUCAGUGUUUGGAUCGUUUUCGUUGAUGACUUCUCGUUCCACCGCAUUAGCCUAUAUCAAAGGGUUGACGAAGACGAUCAAGUAAUGAUGCUUAAAGACAAUAUCACAUUGAACGACGAACAGACGACACAAAACACAAAGCCUGCGAGAUGUAAAUGUAAAAAGAGAAUCAUGUUUCUUAAAACGCAUAAAACUGGAAGCAGUACCAUUACCAACAUAUUAAAUCGAUUUGGUAACAAAUACAAUCUCUCGUUUGCUCUACCUACCAACAGAAUCUCGUUUGCCUGGCCCAAUCGGUUUAAAACAAUAACCAUGAUGCCCUUAUAUGGAAGACCUCAUAUAUUAUGUAAUCAUGCAAGAUAUAACAAACCAGCCCUGCAUCAUCUGUUCCCAAAAGACCGCAGUACCUACAUUACUAUCCUUCGNGAUCCAAUUCAACAGUAUGAGUCUAUAUACAUUUAUAUGAAACUAUGGGAAGGUUUGAAAAUAAACGGAGAUGGUGACCACGUUCUUAUUUUAGACAAGUAUCUACAGAAUGUGACCACAGUUCAAUCGGCGAGGCUGGACGGAAANUUAGGUUCGCGAUUAUUGCGCAAUCCAAUGCUUUUUGAUCUGGGGUUAGACUUUCGUUAUUAUCAAGACAUUAAAGCAGUUUGGAAAUAUAUCAAGUUUCUGGAAAAGGAGUAUGACUUGAUCUUGAUAAUGGAGUACUUUGAUGAGUCUGUGGUUCUUUUGAAAAGAAUGCUUUGCUGGGAGCUCGAUGAUAUUGUUUAUUUGAAAUUAAAUGAACGUCUAGAUGGUGAUAAACGGAAUUUCUCAGAAAGAAUUGAGAAAAACAUUAAAAGUUGGAAUAAAGCAGAUUUUAUGCUAUAUGAUUAUUUUAAUANGACNCUAUGGACGAAAAUUGCCAAAGAAGGCCNUGAUUUNUACGAGGACUUGGCACAAUUCCGUAAACGCCAAAAAGAGGUAUUUGANACNUGUGUUGAUUCGACUUCGCUAGCUAAAGCUUACACGGGCAAGUACGUUAAAGGNUAUAGACUGAGAUCAGACCUCUCAAAGAAUACAAGAACGUUUUGUGGAAACAUCAUUAAGGGGGAGUUGACUUUNAUGGAAGAAAAUAUUGCAAUACAGAAAAAAAGACAAGAACUUGUAGACCANCCGGGAGAAUUUGAAGAUAUUUUUGAUAAAGAAAACGACUGGGAGAAGGCCAAAGAUCUUGUACAUGAUCCGAUUCGCUUGCCUUCGAAUGAUACUGAAGACGCAACAGACUCCCCAAUCGAAUGAUUGCGAUCAUGUCUUCUUCUCUGCGAAUGUUCAGAUAUAGUGACACCAUGCAUCCACAANUAUACAAUUUCGAUACAAUUCAUUGCUGGAAUACCAAGAAAAGAAUUUACAGUCCUCUUUCAUUAUGACGUCACAUUGAAACCCUAAGCGGCAUUUGAUGGACACGACUGAAAGCUCAUUCCUGUGCGAGUCAGAAGUGAAGAGACAAAGGAACCAAGUUUGCGUUCAUGGAAUGGACAUUGAAGAAACGUCGCGUCACAUUUAUGUUUUUACUGAUUUCGUUGUUUUUCUAUUUCUUCUAUCACGUCAACUCCCGGUCCGUACUUCGUGUUUCUUUA